RNAcentral lists this long non-coding RNA (156 nucleotides) under Limulus polyphemus (Atlantic horseshoe crab). RNAcentral's name for it is "uncharacterized LOC111083328, transcript variant X2". The record is from RNAcentral. Lineage: Eukaryota; Metazoa; Arthropoda; Merostomata; Xiphosura; Limulidae.
UUAAUGUUAUCAAAAAAUAACACAGGCCUGCGAUGGCGUUGUUGUCUUGAAAUUUUUACAUGUUCUACAGUAAUUCCUGUACGCUGAAUCCAAAAAUUAUAUCCAUUUUUCUCCAUCACGUACAGAUUUUGAACAAAACGUCAUAUAUACUUUUAC